GACGAACGCUGGCGGCGUGCUUAACACAUGCAAGUCGAACGGAAAGGCCCUGCUUGCAGGGUGCUCGAGUGGCGAACGGGUGAGUAACACGUGGGUGAUCUGCCCCUUACUUUGGGAUAAGCCUGGGAAACUGGGUCUAAUACUGGAUAGGACCAUGCUGUAGGUGGUGUGGUGGAAAGAUUAGUUUCGGUAAGGGAUGAGCUCGCGGCCUAUCAGCUUGUUGGUGGGGUAAUGGCCUACCAAGGCGUCGACGGGUAGCCGGCCUGAGAGGGUGGACGGCCACAUUGGGACUGAGAUACGGCCCAGACUCCUACGGGAGGCAGCAGUGGGGAAUAUUGCACAAUGGGCGCAAGCCUGAUGCAGCGACGCCGCGUGGGGGAUGACGGCCUUCGGGUUGUAAACUCCGUUCAGCCAUGACGAAGCCCUUGUGGUGACGGUAGUGGUAGAAGAAGCACCGGCUAACUACGUG
This 469-nucleotide ribosomal RNA is filed under the name uncultured bacterium. RNAcentral's name for it is "partial 16S ribosomal RNA". It matches the Rfam family "Bacterial small subunit ribosomal RNA", at positions 28 to 507 of the family's 1533-position model. The record is from RNAcentral.